RNAcentral lists this ribosomal RNA (465 nucleotides) under Vreelandella stevensii. RNAcentral's name for it is "partial 16S ribosomal RNA". It matches the Rfam family "Bacterial small subunit ribosomal RNA", at positions 338 to 795 of the family's 1533-position model. The record is from RNAcentral. Lineage: Bacteria; Pseudomonadati; Pseudomonadota; Gammaproteobacteria; Oceanospirillales; Halomonadaceae.
CCUACGGGAGGCUGCAGUGGGGAAUAUUGGACAAUGGGGGGAACCCUGAUCCAGCCAUGCCGCGUGUGUGAAGAAGGCCCUCGGGUUGUAAAGCACUUUCAGUGAGGAAGAACGCCUGGUGGUUAAUACCCAUCAGGAAAGACAUCACUCACAGAAGAAGCACCGGCUAACUCCGUGCCAGCAGCCGCGGUAAUACGGAGGGUGCGAGCGUUAAUCGGAAUUACUGGGCGUAAAGCGCGCGUAGGUGGCUUGAUAAGCCGGUUGUGAAAGCCCCGGGCUCAACCUGGGAACGGCAUCCGGAACUGUCAAGCUAGAGUGCAGGAGAGGAAGGUAGAAUUCCCGGUGUAGCGGUGAAAUGCGUAGAGAUCGGGAGGAAUACCAGUGGCGAAGGCGGCCUUCUGGACUGACACUGACACUGAGGUGCGAAAGCGUGUGUAGCAAACAGGAUUAGAUACCCUUGUAGUC